This 248-nucleotide ribosomal RNA is filed under the name Klebsiella pneumoniae. Its description in RNAcentral is "partial 16S ribosomal RNA". It matches the Rfam family "Bacterial small subunit ribosomal RNA", at positions 383 to 623 of the family's 1533-position model. Lineage: Bacteria; Pseudomonadati; Pseudomonadota; Gammaproteobacteria; Enterobacterales; Enterobacteriaceae. The record is from RNAcentral.
CUGACGGAGCAACGCCGCGUGUAUGAAGAAGGUUUUCGGAUCGUAAAGUACUGUUGUUAGAGAAGAACAAGGAUAAGAGUAACUGCUUGUCCCUUGACGGUAUCUAACCAGAAAGCCACGGCUAACUACGUGCCAGCAGCCGCGGUAAUACGUAGGUGGCAAGCGUUGUCCGGAUUUAUUGGGCGUAAAGCGCGCGCAGGCGGUCUUUUAAGUCUGAUGUGAAAGCCCCCGGCUUAACCAGGGAGGGU